Long non-coding RNA from Colias croceus (clouded yellow), 759 nucleotides. RefSeq lists it as uncharacterized. The transcript is spliced from 2 exons. NCBI's taxonomy places the organism in Eukaryota, Metazoa, Arthropoda, Insecta, Lepidoptera, Pieridae. The record is from RefSeq and is a predicted model, not a curated record.
AUAUUAUGUGUCUUUCUAAAACACACAGCGUUGGAUGAAGAAAGCAGUCUAUGAAUCCUAUAUAUCUCUAUGCAAAUUGGGUCACCUUACCAAAUAUCGAUGGAUCUUUCACCUCACUAGCAAGAGCGCGUCCCUAGUAUGGCAUCUGUCAUCAUCGCCUUUGACGCGCUGUCAUCUUCCAAGCUCCAUAGCGUUUAUGAAUUCGUGCGCAAUAACAUCGCGCAGAAUAUAAUUCUCGAAUUCGAAUAUAUAUAAUUAUAAUUCUCGAAUAUUAAGUGCGAUAAAACACACACGCGUUAAAUUUUAGUGUUUUUCUAGUGAAAAACGGAAUUAGUUCCAAUACGAAACACAAAAGACCACGUUGUCGGAAGGAAAUUCGAAAACCGGUGCUUUGAUAGCAGAUAUCAAACACAUCUUCAUCCAACGCUGUGUGUUUUAGAAAGACACAUAAUAUUGAUGUUUUGCAUUAAAACAAAACAUGUAUUAUGUGUCGAAUAAAACACACAGCGUUGCAGUUUACUGCUUGCUGAUGAAGAUGCUAUGGAGCUUGGAAGAUGACAGCGCGUCAAAGGCGAUGAUGACAGAUGCCAUACUAGGGACGCGCUCUUGCUAGUGAGGUGAAAGAUCCAUCGAUAUUUGGUAAGGUGACCCAAUUUGCAUAGAGAUAUAUAGGAUUCAUAGACUGCUUUCUUCAUCCAACGCUGUGUGUUUUAUUCGACACAUAAUACAUGUUUUGUUUUAAUGCAAAACAUCAAUAUU